This 91-nucleotide transfer RNA is filed under the name Amylocarpus encephaloides. It matches the Rfam family "tRNA". From Rfam's summary of the family: Transfer RNA (tRNA) molecules are approximately 80 nucleotides in length. Their secondary structure includes four short double-helical elements and three loops (D, anti-codon, and T loops). The record is from Rfam by way of RNAcentral. Lineage: Eukaryota; Fungi; Ascomycota; Leotiomycetes; Helotiales.
GGCCAGAUGGCGGAGUGGUUAACGCGACAGCCUAGAAUUAACUCGACAGCUGUUUCCUUCGGGAGCGUAGGUUCGAGUCCUACUCUGGUCG